Molecule: ribosomal RNA, 519 nt
Filed under: uncultured eukaryote
Lineage: Eukaryota
Description: bacterial SSU rRNA
Rfam family: Eukaryotic small subunit ribosomal RNA
Source: RNAcentral
AGGGCACCACCAGGAGUGGAGCCUGCGGCUUAAUUUGACUCAACACGGGAAAACUUACCUGGUCAGGACACUGGAAGGAUUGUCAGAUUGAGAGCUCUUUCUUGAUUCAGUGGGUGGUGGUGCAUGGCCGUUCUUAGUUGGUGGGGCGAUUUGUCUGGUUAAUUCCGAUAACGAACGAGACUCUAGCCUACUAAAUAGACUGCUCAACUUUAUAGCUGCAUCACCUUGCAGUGGCUUCGGUUGCUGUAAGGCUGUGGUGACGUUGGCAGCGCUUCUUAGAGGGACAGGCGGCGGUUCAGCCGCACGAAACAGAGCAAUAACAGGUCUGUGAUGCCCUUAGAUGUCCAGGGCCGCACGCGCGCUACACUGAAGUGAUCAGCGUGCAAUUAACGUUUCCUACUCCGUCAGGAGUGGGUAACCCGUUGAACCUUCUUCGUGAUUGGGAUAGGGGAUUGUAAUUAUUCCCCUUGAACGAGGAAUUCCCAGUAAGCGCAAGUCAUAAGCUUGCGUUGAUUACGU